This 808-nucleotide ribosomal RNA is filed under the name uncultured anaerobic bacterium. RNAcentral describes it as "bacterial SSU rRNA". It matches the Rfam family "Bacterial small subunit ribosomal RNA", at positions 35 to 868 of the family's 1533-position model. The record is from RNAcentral.
GCUGGCGGCGUGCCUAACACAUGCAAGUCGAGCGAUGAAGUUCUUCGGAACGGAUUAGCGGCGGACGGGUGAGUAACGCGUGAGCAAUCUGCCUUACACAAAGGGAUAGCCUCGGGAAACUGGGAUUAAUACCAUAUAACACUUUUAGAUCGCAUGAUUUAGAAGUCAAAGAUUUAUCGGUGUAAGAUGAGCUCGCGUCUGAUUAGCUAGUUGGUGGGGUAAAGGCCUACCAAGGCAACGAUCAGUAGCCGGCCUGAGAGGGUGAACGGCCACACUGGAACUGAGACACGGUCCAGACUCCUACGGGAGGCAGCAGUGGGGAAUAUUGCACAAUGGGCGCAAGCCUGAUGCAGCGACGCCGCGUGAGCGAAGAAGGUUUUCGGAUCGUAAAGCUCUGUCCUUUGGGAAGAAAAAAUGACGGUACCAAAGGAGGAAGCCCCGGCUAACUACGUGCCAGCAGCCGCGGUAAUACGUAGGGGGCGAGCGUUGUCCGGAUUUACUGGGCGUAAAGGGUGAGUAGGCGGUAACGUGUGUCAGAUGUUUAAUCUAUGGGCUCAACCCAUAUCAGCAUUUGAAACUGCGUAACUUGAGUGCAGGAGAGGUAAGUGGAAUUCCUAGUGUAGCGGUGAAAUGCGUAGAUAUUAGGAGGAACACCAGUGGCGAAGGCGGCUUACUGGACUGUAACUGACGCUGAGUCACGAAAGCGUGGGGAGCGAACAGGAUUAGAUACCCUGGUAGUCCACGCUGUAAACGAUGAGUGCUAGGUGUUGAUAGAGAUAUCAGUGCCGCAGCUAACGCAAUAAGCACU